UAGAGAGAAGCUUGCUUCUCUUGAGAGCGGCGGACGGGUGAGUAAUACCUAGGAAUCUGCCUGAUAGUGGGGGAUAACGUUCGGAAACGGACGCUAAUACCGCAUACGUCCUACGGGAGAAAGCAGGGGACCUUCGGGCCUUGCGCUAUCAGAUGAGCCUAGGUCGGAUUAGCUAGUUGGUGAGGUAAUGGCUCACCAAGGCUACGAUCCGUAACUGGUCUGAGAGGAUGAUCAGUCACACUGGAACUGAGACACGGUCCAGACUCCUACGGGAGGCAGCAGUGGGGAAUAUUGGACAAUGGGCGAAAGCCUGAUCCAGCCAUGCCGCGUGUGUGAAGAAGGUCUUCGGAUUGUAAAGCACUUUAAGUUGGGAGGAAGGGCAUUAACCUAAUACGUUAGUGUUUUGACGUUACCGACAGAAUAAGCACCGGCUAACUCUGUGCCAGCAGCCGCGGUAAUACAGAGGGUGCAAGCGUUAAUCGGAAUUACUGGGCGUAAAGCGCGCGUAGGUGGUUUGUUAAGUUGAAUGUGAAAUCCCCGGGCUCAACCUGGGAACUGCAUCCAAAACUGGCAAGCUAGAGUAUGGUAGAGGGUAGUGGAAUUUCCUGUGUAGCGGUGAAAUGCGUAGAUAUAGGAAGGAACACCAGUGGCGAAGGCGACUACCUGGACUGAUACUGACACUGAGGUGCGAAAGCGUGGGGAGCAAACAGGAUUAGAUACCCUGGUAGUCCACGCCGUAAACGAUGUCAACUAGCCGUUGGGAGUCUUGAACUCUUAGUGGCGCAGCUAACGCAUUAAGUUGACCGCCUGGGGAGUACGGCCGCAAGGUUAAAACUCAAAUGAAUUGACGGGGGCCCGCACAAGCGGUGGGAGCAUGUGGUUUAAUUCGAAGCAACGCGAAGAACCUUACCAGGCCUUGACAUCCAAUGAAACUUUCUAGAAGAUAGAUUGGGUGCCCUUCGGGGAACAUUGAAGAC
This 977-nucleotide ribosomal RNA is filed under the name Pseudomonas sp. Its description in RNAcentral is "bacterial SSU rRNA". It matches the Rfam family "Bacterial small subunit ribosomal RNA", at positions 69 to 1035 of the family's 1533-position model. The record is from RNAcentral. Lineage: Bacteria; Pseudomonadati; Pseudomonadota; Gammaproteobacteria; Pseudomonadales; Pseudomonadaceae.